RNAcentral lists this ribosomal RNA (447 nucleotides) under uncultured bacterium. RNAcentral's name for it is "partial 16S ribosomal RNA". It matches the Rfam family "Bacterial small subunit ribosomal RNA", at positions 29 to 507 of the family's 1533-position model. The record is from RNAcentral.
AACGAACGCUGGCGGCAUGCUUAACACAUGCAAGUUGAACGAAUCAUUUGGAGCUUGCUUCAAAUAAAUUAGUAGCAAACGGGUGAGUAACACGUAGGAAUCUACCCAUCAGUACGGAAUAACUUUUGGAAACAAAAGCUAAUACCGUAUAUUCUCUCUGGAGGAAAGAUUUAUCGCUGAUGGAUGAGCCUGCGUCAGAUUAGGUAGUUGGUAGGGUAAUGGCUUACCAAGCCGACGAUCUGUAGCUGGUCUGAGAGGAUGAUCAGCCACACUGGGACUGAGACACGGCCCAGACUCCUACGGGAGGCAGCAGUGGGGAAUAUUGGACAAUGGGCGAAAGCCUGAUCCAGCAAUGCCGCGUGAAUGAUGAAGGCCUUAGGGUUGUAAAGUUCUUUUAGUAGGGAAGAUAAUGACGGUACUACAGAAAAGUACCCGGCUAACUCCGUG